CCAGACUCCUACGGGAGGCAGCAGUGGGGAAUAUUGCACAAUGGGGGAAACCCUGAUGCAGCAACGCCGCGUGAGUGAGGAAGUAUUUCGGUAUGUAAAGCUCUAUCAGCAGGGAAUAGAAAAGAAGGUACCUGAAAAAGAAGCCCCGGCUAACUACGUGCCAGCAGCCGCGGUAAUACGUAGGGGGCAAGCGUUAUCCGGAUUUACUGGGUGUAAAGGGAGCGUAGACGGCAGCGCAAGUCUGAAGUGAAAUGCCGGGGCUUAACCCCGGAACUGCUUUGGAAACUGAGCAGCUAGAGUGCAGGAGAGGUAAGUGGAAUUCCUAGUGUAGCGGUGAAAUGCGUAGAUAUUAGGAGGAACACCAGUGGCGAAGGCGGCUUGCUGGACAGAGACUGACGUUGAGGCUCGAAAGCGUGGGGAGCAAACAGGAUUAGAUACCCCCGUACA
This 447-nucleotide ribosomal RNA is filed under the name uncultured bacterium. RNAcentral's name for it is "partial 16S ribosomal RNA". It matches the Rfam family "Bacterial small subunit ribosomal RNA", at positions 331 to 794 of the family's 1533-position model. The record is from RNAcentral.